This is an RNA transcript of Canis lupus familiaris (dog), 4433 nucleotides long. It is a transcript of the gene named centrosome and spindle pole associated protein 1, with no coding region annotated. The transcript has 36 exons. The record is from RefSeq and is a predicted model, not a curated record. NCBI's taxonomy places the organism in Eukaryota, Metazoa, Chordata, Mammalia, Carnivora, Canidae.
CUUAAGAGGCGGAGCCGGGGCCGCUCGGCUUGUCACGGUGCUCCGGUGCGGGGCGGCCGUCGCCACCUCUUCGGCCUGCGGAGAGCUUCCCUGGGGCUCUGUGCGUCGUCCCCAGCGCAAGCCGGCUCUCCUGAUAUCUGCAAAAUGGCUGAUAAUUUGGAUGAAUUUAUUGAAGAGCGAAAAGCCAAACUGGCCAAAGAUAAAGCAGAAUUGGAAAGUGAUCCACCGUACAUGGAAAUGAAGGGAAAGGCAUCAGAGAAGUUUUCUGAAAACAGUAAACUAUUAAUCUCCAUGGCUAAGGAAAACAUACCACCAAACAGUCAACACACCAGGAGUUCUUUAGGAAUUGAUUAUGGAUUAAGUUUACCACUUGGGGAAGAUUAUGAACGGAAGAAACAUAAACUAAAAGAAGAAUUAAGGCAAGAUUACAGACGCUAUCUUACUCAGGGUAUUACACAAGCAAAAAGGAAGAAAAAUUUUCUGUCCACAAGUGAAGCAGAUCCAUCUACUCUUGGAGUUUCUCUUCCUAUUGAUGAGAGGCUAUCUGCCAAGGAAAGGUUGAAACUUGAACGCAACAAGGAAUACAAUCAAUUUCUCAGGGGUAAGGAGGAAUCCACUGACAGGUUCAGACAGGUAGAAAAGAGUAGUACCGAGCAGAAGAAUCAAAGAAAUAAAAAACCUAUUUGUCAGGGUAAGCCUGAUUUAUCUUCACAAAUACAGACAUCUUGUGAAAAUUCAGGGGGUCUUGGAAGAAAUGUCUUAACUCCUUCGGAGGCAUAUGAAGAGCUUCUAAACCAAAGAAGACUGGAGGAAGACAGAUAUCGACAACUAGAUGAUGACAUUGAAUUAAGGAAUAGAAGAAUCAUUAAAAAAACUAAUGAAGAAGUGGGCAUACCCAAUAAAAAACAUCAAAGGUUUGCCAACAAAGCUGACAUUCCAGAUAGAAGAUUUCGCAGGUUUAAUGACGAUCGUGUUUUUGAUAGACAGUAUUAUAAACCAGAUCAAGAUCCUGAAGUAAGUGAAGAAAUGGACGAGAGGUUUAGAUAUGAAAGUGAUUUUGAUAGAAGACUUUUGAGAGUGUAUACAAAUGACAGGAUGUACGGGAACAGACGAGGGAAUGUGCCUCCUAAGGACUAUGGUGGUGAUGUCACAGAGCAGUCAAACAUACGCAUUUCAUCUGCUGGAAAUAAAAGUGCUCGAGACAAUGAACCAUCCAAAUCUACUAACCGAGAGAUCUGUAGUCCUUUUGCGGGAAUGCUCUUUGGAGGUGAAGAUCGAGAACUUAUUCAGAGAAGGAAAGAGAAAUAUAGACUAGAACUGUUGGAACAAAUGGCUGAACAACAGAAGAACAAGAGACGAGAAAAAGAUAUGGAACUCAGCGUUGCAGCUUCUGGAGUACGAGACCCUGAGAAAUCGCCUGAUAGACUAAAGCAGUUUAGUGUGGCACCAAGACACUUUGAAGAGAUGAUACCACCUGAAAGACCCAGAGUAGCUUUCCAGACGCCUCUCCCUCCUUUAUCUGCCCCAUCUGCCCCACCCAUCCCAUCAAUUCACUCCAUCCCAUCUCAAAAUGAAGAUUUGCACAAUGGAUCCAGCUGCACCCUUGGUGAAAUGGUGCCUCCCAGGAUUGCACCUCUGCCACCUCCUCCCCUGCUACCACCUCUGGCUACUAACUAUCGUACUCCUUAUGAUGAUGCAUACUAUUUUUAUGGGGCCAGGAAUACUUUGGAUCCCAGUCUUGCUUAUUAUGGUUCAGGAAUGAUGGGAGUACAGCCUGCAGCUUAUGUUAGUGCUCCUGUCACCCACCAGCCAGCACAGCCUAUUAUGAAUAUGGUUGGACAGAAUGAACUGAAAAUUACAAGUGAUCGAGCAAUAAAUUCAGGAUUGUUUUUUGAAGAUAAACCAAAGCCUUCAAAACAGUCACUUCAGUCUUACCAAGAAGCUUUGCAGCAACAGAUUCGGGAAAGAGAAGAAAGAAGAAAGAGAGAACGUGAAGAAAAAGAAGAAUAUGAAGCUAAAUUAGAAGCUGAAAUGAAAAGUUACAACCCCUGGGGAAAAGGUGGAGGUGGUGCUCCUCUGAGAGAUGCAAAAGGAAAUCUGAUAACUGAUUUGAAUAGGAUGCACAGACAAAAUAUAGAUGCCUACCAUAACCCAGAUGCAAGAACAUAUGAAGAUAAAAGGGCUGUUGUAUCUCUAGACCAAAAUUUAGCCACCUCAAAUGCUGAGAACCUAGAAGAUUCUACAAAUAAAAACUCAGGUUACAUGCAAACACAGAGCUCUCCUUUUGCUCGGGGAAAUAUAUUUUGUGAGCCUCCAACUGAACUUCAGAUUAAACAGCAAGAAUUAUACAAGAAUUUUCUUCGUUUUCAGAUUGAGGAAAAGAAACAAAGAGAGGAAGCAGAGCGAGAGAGACUGAGAAUUGCAGAAGAAAAAGAAGAAAAACGACUUGCAGAACAGAGAGCACGAAUUCAACAAGAGUAUGAAGAGGAACAGGAAAAGAAAAGGGAGAAAGAGGAGGAGCAAAGGCUAAAAAAUGAAGAGCUUAUUCGGUUAGCUGAAGAAAGACGAAAAGAAGCAGAAAGAAAGAAAAAAGAAGAGGAAGAAAAACAUAAUCUGCAGCUUCAGCACUACUAUGCAAGAGAAAAUAUAAUUGGGGAAGAAACAAAGCGCUUGAGACAGCCUUCUCCUGUAGUUCCUGCUCUUCAGAACAAAAUAGCAAGCAAACUUCAAAGACCUCCUUCAGUUGACAGCAUUAUAAGUUCCUUUAUUCAGGAAAGUUCCAUGUCCAGGGCACAGUCUCCUCCGGUACCUGCCAGGAGAAACCAGCUACGUGCAGAAGAGGAGAAAAAAAAUGUAAUUAUGGAGUUAUCAGAAAUGAGAAAACAGCUUCGUAGCGAAGAGCGGCGUCUGCAAGGCCGGUUGCUACACAUGGACAGUGAUGAUGAAAUUCACAUAAGGAAAAGAGAAAGGAAUCCCAUGGAUAUAUUUGACAUGGCUAGGCAUCGGCUGCAAGCUCCUGUCAGAAGACAGUCACCUAAGGGCUUAGAUGCUACUACUUUUCAGAAUAUUCAUGACUUCAAUGAGCUGAAAGAUAGAGAUUCAGAAACACGAGUUGAUCUGAAAUUCAUGUACCCGGAUCCUCCAAGAGAUCACCACACCUUGGAGAUUCAGCAGCAAGCCCUACUAAGAGAGCAGCAGAAGAAACUGAAUAAAAUAAAGAUGCAAGAAGGUGCUGAAGUUGACUUGGAUGCCAUCCCAAGUGCUAAAGUACGGGACCACAGAAUGUCCAGAGAAGACUCUGAUGAUUUCUUGAAAACUUCAUUAUUGGAAUCUGACAGUGCUUUUAUUGGUGCUUAUGGCGAGACAUAUCCUGCCAUUGAAGAUGACAUCCUCCCUCCACAGGGAGCUCCCUCUGCAAGGGAGCGCAGGAGGAACAAACUGAAAGGACUGGACUUUGAUAACAGUCAUCCUAAUGUGCCACCAGAUGGUCUCUCUUUAAAAUCGGUGUCCAGCAUAAAUAUUGAUCAGCUUAGAAUGAAAAAUGAGGAACGGAUGCGAAGACUGAAUGAAAUUCAGAAUAAACCAGUUAAUACAGAUGAUGAGAGCUCACUGGUCGACCCUGAUGACAUGAAGCACAUGGGGGACGAUGGCUCAGACUCUGCAGCAGCCGAGCCCUGGCUGCGCCCAGAUGCCACUGUACCACACAAUUGAACUAACUCCUAGGACACACAGUACCCCAAAUGGGACGUCUGCUCUUCUUCACAAACGCUCUACCUACUCUGAGUCAACAAGCCCAUGGUGAACUUCUCCUAAAGAACUUCAAGGGGAAAGAGAGCCAGGAUGUCUGAGAGAAGGAAAGGAGCAUGGGUCCUCAGCUCAGGAUGGUAGGGGAGCAAGCACUCUGCUUCAGUAAAAGGAUAACUCAAAGAGAAUUGGGAACCAUCCUCUGACCCACACCCGGUCUUCAGGUGCCACAUUCAUAUCAUCACUUGUGUACUCCUUGAAAGCCUUCAAGAAGAAAGAUGGACAAAAUCCAGGAGAUCUUAUGACAUCUCUGAAGAUACAGGCAUACCUCGGAGAAACUGUUUGGGUCCAGACUACCACAAUAAAGUUACUGGUCAAGUCAUUGUUCCAAAACAAAAAUCUGCUACUGCUGCUGCUGCUGCUUCUCUGACUAAAAUCUUUCAAUACAUAGCAGGCCAAAGUGAAGAAGACAAGACAAAAACUUAUUUACAAGGAGAAUCUGGAAUCUGGAUCCAAUUCAAUGCUCUUGUUUCAUCUCCUUCGAGUACCUGCCUCUGCCAUGCUGCCCAACAGUCCUCAGACAUUCCUCCCUCCUGUGCUACUGCACAGGUCAUUCUUGUUGUCUGCAAUGUCCUUACUUGUCCUGUCUGAAUGAUUCCUGUCAAGUCCUAAUUCAUACCAUAAAUUAA